CCGUUCCGUCAUCUGGCUUAUGUUCUUCAUGUAGCAUUCAGACCGAAUGACUCUAUGAAAUUACGUCGAUACUUCCACAUAUUAUGGGUAACGUAGGAGACAUCUCUAUUUUUUCCCCGGGAAAUCUUUCGAAUUACUAUUACCACUGCUUAGCUUUCAAUUCGCCUCUGACCAUCAAAUCAAAUGUGAAUAACCCGUCCUCCUCUCUUUGAAACAAGGGGCGCUUCUGGUUCUGUCGGUGCUUGAAAC
This 249-nucleotide long non-coding RNA is filed under the name Citrus maxima (pomelo). RNAcentral's name for it is "long non-coding RNA (CMAX_LNC004371)". The record is from RNAcentral. Lineage: Eukaryota; Viridiplantae; Streptophyta; Magnoliopsida; Sapindales; Rutaceae.